GACGAACGCUGGCGGCGUGCUUAACACAUGCAAGUCGAACGGUGAAGCGCCUUCCUUUUUGGUGGGUGUGGAUGAGUGGCGAACGGGUGAGUAACACGUGAGUAACCUGCCCCCUUCUUCUGGAUAACCGCAUGAAAGUGUGGCUAAUACGGGAUAUUCUGGGUCUGUCGCAUGAUGGGUCUGGGAAAGAUAUUGUUUCGGUGGGGGAUGGGCUCGCGGCCUAUCAGCUUGUUGGUGGGGUGAUGGCCUACCAAGGCGGUGACGGGUAGCCGGCCUGAGAGGGUGGACGGGCACACUGGGACGGAGACACGGCCCAGACUCCUACGGGAGGCAGCAGUGGGGAAUAUGGCACAAUGGGCGCAAGCCUGAUGCAGCGACGCCGCGUGAGGGAUGGAGGCCUUCGGGUUGUGAACCUCUUUCGCCAGUGAAGCAGGCCUGCCUCGUUUGUGGGUGGGUUGACGGUAGCUGGAUAAGAAGCGCCGGCUAACUACGUG
This 494-nucleotide ribosomal RNA is filed under the name uncultured bacterium. RNAcentral describes it as "partial 16S ribosomal RNA". It matches the Rfam family "Bacterial small subunit ribosomal RNA", at positions 28 to 507 of the family's 1533-position model. The record is from RNAcentral.